UUCCGGUUGAUCCUGCCGGAGGCUACCGCUAUUGGAGUUCGAUUAAGCCAUGCGAGUCCAGAGCUUUCGGAGCUCGGCGUACCGCUCAGUAACACGUGGGUAACCUAACCUAUGCAGGGGAAUAACCUCGGGAAACUGAGAAUAAUACCCCAUAGUCCACUACGCCUGGAACGGUGAGUGGAUGAAAGCUCAGGCGGCAUAGGAUGGGCCUGCGGCGUAUCAGGUUGUAGGGGGUGUAAAGUACCCUCUAGCCCUCUACGCGUACGGGUGUUGGGAGACAUAGCCCGGAGAUGGAUUCUGAGACACGAAUCCAGACCCUACGGGGUGCAGCAGGCGCGAAAACUUGGCAAUGCGAGCAAUCGUGACCAGGGAACUCCAAGUGGCUGGGGUAAGACCCAGUCUUUUCAGAACUCUUCAAAGGUUUUAGAAUAAGGGGUGGGCAAGGACGGUGCCAGCCGCCGCGGUAAUACCGGCGCCUCAAGUGGUAGUCGCUUUUAUUGGGCCUAAAACGUCCGUAGCCGGUUUGGUACAUUCGUGGGUAAAUCAACUCGCUCAACGAGUUGAAUUCUGCGAGGACGGCCAGACUUGGGACCGGGAGAGGUGUGGGGUACUCUCAGGGUAGGGGUAAAAUCCUGUCAUCCUGAGAGGACCACCUGUUGCGAAGGCGCCACACUAGAACGGAUCCGACGGUCAGGGACGAAGCCUAGGGGCACGAACCGGAUUAGAUACCCGGGUAGUCCUAGGUGUAAACGCUGUGGACUUGAUGUUGGAGGAGCUCCGAGCUUUUUCAGUGUCGAAGCGAAGGUGAUAAGUCCACUGCCUGGGAAGUACGGUCGCAAGGCUGAAACUUAAAGGAAUUGGCGGGGGAGCACCGCAACCUGAGGAUUGUGCGGUUUAAUUGGAUUCAACGCCGG
This 914-nucleotide ribosomal RNA is filed under the name uncultured euryarchaeote. RNAcentral describes it as "bacterial SSU rRNA". It matches the Rfam family "Archaeal small subunit ribosomal RNA", at positions 1 to 921 of the family's 1478-position model. Lineage: Archaea; Methanobacteriati; Methanobacteriota. The record is from RNAcentral.